GCAAGAGCUAUUGCGUACUGGAAUUUUGUCAAAUUCGCAGGAUGGAGGUUGCCUUGUUCUUCCAAGUUAUGCUAGUUUGAAGGAGAAGAUGAGUGAAGUAGUUUCAACUGAGUCUCAAAUGUUUCCACAUCUUGGUAAACAAUUGCUUGAAGCUGCAGAGGCCUGUGAGGGUAUGAGUGGAAGAUCACUUAGAAAGCUACCAUUCUUGGCACAUGCUGCACUUGCUAAUCCUUACAGUUGUGAACCUG
Molecule: unclassified non-coding RNA, 248 nt
Filed under: Hevea brasiliensis (rubber tree)
Lineage: Eukaryota; Viridiplantae; Streptophyta; Magnoliopsida; Malpighiales; Euphorbiaceae
Source: RNAcentral